UCUUCUUUCAAAGGGGAGUAGCGUUCAGGGUAAUACCUGAAAACAAAGUCGUCAUUUCAUGGAUUUUCUUCCAUCGGCUUUGUUGGCAUGAACGGAUUUGUAAUACAUGCU
RNAcentral lists this small RNA (111 nucleotides) under Metabacillus litoralis. RNAcentral's name for it is "Bacillus litoralis Manganese sequence". It matches the Rfam family "Manganese Mn2+ riboswitch aptamer (yybP-ykoY)". Rfam says of the family: This RNA was originally discovered in E. coli during a large scale screen and was named SraF. The record is from RNAcentral. Lineage: Bacteria; Bacillati; Bacillota; Bacilli; Caryophanales; Bacillaceae.